RNAcentral lists this ribosomal RNA (253 nucleotides) under uncultured bacterium. RNAcentral's name for it is "partial 16S ribosomal RNA". It matches the Rfam family "Bacterial small subunit ribosomal RNA", at positions 524 to 776 of the family's 1533-position model. The record is from RNAcentral.
UACGUAGGGUGCGAGCGUUGUCCGGAAUUAUUGGGCGUAAAGGGCUCGUAGGCGGUUUGUCGCGUCGGGAGUGAAAUCCACUGGCUUAACUGGUGGCUUGCUUUCGAUACGGGCAGACUGGAGGUAUGCAGGGGAGAACGGAAUUCCUGGUGUAGCGGUGAAAUGCGCAGAUAUCAGGAGGAACACCGGUGGCGAAGGCGGUUCUCUGGAACGGUACUGACGCUGAGACGCGAAAGCGUGGGGAGCGAACAGG